Molecule: ribosomal RNA, 342 nt
Filed under: uncultured Glomus
Lineage: Eukaryota; Fungi; Glomeromycota; Glomeromycetes; Glomerales; Glomeraceae
Description: SSU rRNA
Rfam family: Eukaryotic small subunit ribosomal RNA
Source: RNAcentral
AGCAGCCGCGGUAAUUCCAGCUCCAAUAGCGUAUAUUAAAGUUGUUGCAGUUAAAAAGCUCGUAGUUGAAUUUCGGGAUCAAUAUUUCGGUCAUGCCGUUGGUAUGCACUGUUAUCAUUGAUUUCUCACCUUCUAAAGAACCGUAAUGCCAUUAAUUUGGUGUUACGGGGAAUUAGGACUGUUACCUUGAAAAAUUAGAGUGUUUAAAGCAGGCUCACGCUUGAAUACAUUAGCAUGGAGUAAUGAAAUAGGACGUUUGAUUCUAUUUUGUUGGUUUCUAGGAUCGACGUAAUGAUUAAUAGGGAUAGGUUGGGGGCUAUUAGUAUUCAAUUGUCAGAGGUG